AGGAGAUAUGUUAAUAUUCUUUUAAUAAAUGCCUUUUUUGUGUAGAAAUGCUUGUUUGGUUUCUGAUAGUUGUAACCUAAAAAAUCUUUAGUAAGCCAUUGGUCUGCUGUGGGGAGCGUCGAGAUGAAACUGGAACGUUGUUUGAACCUAGAUCAUAAAGUGACUCCAACAUCUUCAUACCAGGGAGAGGAGGAAGCUGUGCUGUGAAGGAUCCUUUUUCAUCAUGAUUAUUGCAUCCACAGAAGCAGUGAUAAAUUCUAACAGAUAAUGCAACUCAGUCUACUUGGAUGUUCACACCUGAGACUGGAGAAGACCUGCUGCCUUCUGCAGAGCCAAACAUUCCUCACAUGCUCCUCCACAAUGCUGUGAGCCAUAUUUAUUCAUUUAAAAGCUAGUACCUCGCU
Homo sapiens (human) is the source of this 404-nucleotide long non-coding RNA. Ensembl annotates it as long intergenic non-protein coding RNA 3004. Lineage: Eukaryota; Metazoa; Chordata; Mammalia; Primates; Hominidae. The record is from Ensembl.